RNAcentral lists this transfer RNA (67 nucleotides) under human gut metagenome. It matches the Rfam family "tRNA", at positions 5 to 66 of the family's 71-position model. Rfam says of the family: Transfer RNA (tRNA) molecules are approximately 80 nucleotides in length. Their secondary structure includes four short double-helical elements and three loops (D, anti-codon, and T loops). Further hydrogen bonds mediate the characteristic L-shaped molecular structure. tRNAs have two regions of fundamental functional importance: the anti-codon, which is responsible for specific mRNA codon recognition, and the 3' end, to which the tRNAs corresponding amino acid is attached (by aminoacyl-tRNA synthetases). tRNAs cope with the degeneracy of the genetic code in two manners: having more than one tRNA (with a specific anti-codon) for a particular amino acid; and 'wobble' base-pairing, i.e. permitting non-standard base-pairing at the 3rd anti-codon position. The record is from RNAcentral.
CCGUGGCUUAGUUGGAUAGAGCAUCAGAUUCCGAUUCUGAAGGUCGUAGGUUCGAAUCCUAUCGGAC